GACGAACGCUGGCGGCGUGCUUAACACAUGCAAGUCGAACGGUAAGGCCCUUCGGGGUACACGAGUGGCGAACGGGUGAGUAACACGUGGGUGAUCUGCCCUGCACUUCGGGAUAAGCCUGGGAAACUGGGUCUAAUACCGGAUAGGACCACUGCCUGCAUGGGUGGUGGUGGAAAGCUUUUGCGGUGUGGGAUGGGCCCGCGGCCUAUCAGCUUGUUGGUGGGGUGAUGGCCUACCAAGGCGAAGACGGGUAGCCGGCCGGAGAGGGUGACCGGGCACACUGGGACUGAGAUACGGCCCAGACUCCUACGGGAGGCAGCAGUGGGGAAUAUUGCACAAUGGGCGCAAGCCUGAUGCAGCGACGCCGCGUGAGGGAUGACGGCCUUCGGGUUGUAAACCUCUUUCAGCACCGACGAAGCGCAAGUGACGGUAGGUGCAGAAGAAGGACCGGCCAACUACGUGCCAGCCGCCGCCGUAA
Molecule: ribosomal RNA, 478 nt
Filed under: uncultured bacterium
Lineage: Bacteria
Description: partial 16S ribosomal RNA
Rfam family: Bacterial small subunit ribosomal RNA
Source: RNAcentral